Molecule: long non-coding RNA, 968 nt
Organism: Sapajus apella (tufted capuchin)
Lineage: Eukaryota; Metazoa; Chordata; Mammalia; Primates; Cebidae
Exons: 2
Source: RefSeq, a predicted model, not a curated record
GGCUAAACUGGGAGAAUCACUUGAGUCCCAGGGGUUCAAACCUGCAGUAAGCUGUGAUCAGGUGACUGCAUUCCAGCCUGAGCAACAGAGUGAAACCCUACCAAAAAAAAAAAAACAACAAAAAACCUUAAGUAACAGCUUAGAUUAAAACCGUCAUAAUUCAAAAUUAUAAAAGGAAUACUGGGCGCAGUGGUUCAUGCCAGUAACCCCUCCAAGACAGGUGGAUCGCUUGAACCUGGGAGUCCAAGACCACCCUGGGAACAUGGUAAAACCCAAUCUCUACGAAAAAUACAAAAAUUAGCUGGGCAGGGUGGCAUGCACCUGUAGUCCCAGCUACUCAGGAGGCUGACCUGGGAGAAUCAUCUGAUUUCAGUCUGGGAGGCGAAGGCUGUGCGAGACCCUGUCUCAAAAAAUAAAUAAAAAUAAAGAAAUGAAAGAAAAAAUUGUAAAGGACAGAAUGCAGUUUAGCUGAUGUUGACAGAGGAAAUUUAAUAAAGAAAAAAUGAGUUUGCAUGAUUUGAGAGUUUUUGAAAGGUUUGAUGCAUCUGAUUAAAUUUCUUGAACACAUGGCUUUCUUUGGAUCUUAGUGUCAAAAAUCGAAACAGCUAAAAUAAUAAAGUACUUGGAUUUCCUUAUAUGUCAUAAGCUUUGCAAAUUCCAAUAAAAAUUCUUAGGAACUCUUUUGUCUCUCAUGUGUGUAUGUAUCAUAUUGUGGUUGUCUUUUGUUAAUUAAGUUUUUUGUUACUAAAGCUAGUUGAUUACAAGACCUACUUAAUAUUCAGUAUAUGCCACACUUUCUUCUAGGAAUUAUAAUUCCCACAAAAACCUUAGAAGUAAGUUCUUUUCUCAUUUUCACAAAUAAGGUUACUGAGGCACAGAGAGACUAACUUGCUCAAGUUUACACAAACGACAAGAUACGAAUGUCAUACAGUAAAUUCACAGCCUGUAUACAUCUUAGUAGAUUUUAC